CCUACGGGAGGCAGCAGUAGGGAAUAUUGGGCAAUGGGCGAAAGCCUGACCCAGCAACGCCGCGUGUGCGAUGAAGGUCUUCGGAUCGUAAAGCACUUUUCGGGGAGAUGAGAAAGGACAGUAUCCCCGGAAUAAGUCUCGGCUAACUACGUGCCAGCAGCCGCGGUAAAACGUAGGAGGCAAGCGUUAUCCGGAUUUACUGGGCGUAAAGCGCGUGUAGGCGGUCGGGCAAGUCAGAUGUGAAAGCCUUCCGCUCAACGGAAGAAGUGCAUUUGAAACUACCCGGCUGGAGUACGGGAGAGGAGAGUGGAAUUCCCGGUGUAGAGGUGAAAUUCGUAGAUAUCGGGAGGAACACCAGUGGCGAAGGCGGCUCUCUGGUCCGAUACUGACGCUGAGACGCGAAAGCGUGGGGAGCAAACAGGAUUAGAUACCCUGGUAGUCCACGCCGUAAACGAUGGGCACUAGGUGUAGGAGGUAUUGACCCCUUCUGUGCCGAAGUUAACGCAUUAAGUGCCCCGCCUGGGGAGUACGGCCGCAAGGUUAAAACUCAAAGGAAUUGACGG
RNAcentral lists this ribosomal RNA (563 nucleotides) under uncultured bacterium. RNAcentral describes it as "bacterial SSU rRNA". It matches the Rfam family "Bacterial small subunit ribosomal RNA", at positions 338 to 916 of the family's 1533-position model. The record is from RNAcentral.